Molecule: ribosomal RNA, 743 nt
Filed under: uncultured bacterium
Lineage: Bacteria
Description: bacterial SSU rRNA
Rfam family: Bacterial small subunit ribosomal RNA
Source: RNAcentral
UAGAGUUUGAUCCUGGCUCAGAGCGAACGCUGGCGGCAGGCUUAACACAUGCAAGUCGAGCGGGCGUAGCAAUACGUCAGCGGCAGACGGGUGAGUAACGCGUGGGAACAUACCUUUUGGUUCGGAACAACACAGGGAAAUUGUGCUAAUACCGGAUAAGCCCUUACGGGGAAAGAUUUAUCGCCGAAAGAUUGGCCCGCGUCUGAUUAGCUAGUUGGUGAGGUAAUGGCUCACCAAGGCGACGAUCAGUAGCUGGUCUGAGAGGAUGAUCAGCCACAUUGGGACUGAGACACGGCCCAAACUCCUACGGGAGGCAGCAGUGGGGAAUACUGGACAAUGGGGGCAACCCUGAUCCAGCCAUGCCGCGUGAGUGAUGAAGGCCCUAGGGUUGUAAAGCUCUUUUGUGCGGGAAGAUAAUGACGGUACCGCAAGAAUAAGCCCCGGCUAACUUCGUGCCAGCAGCCGCGGUAAUACGAAGGGGGCUAGCGUUGCUCGGAAUCACUGGGCGUAAAGGGUGCGUAGGCGGGUCUUUAAGUCAGGGGUGAAAUCCUGGAGCUCAACUCCAGAACUGCCUUUGAUACUGAAGAUCUUGAGUUCGGGAGAGGUGAGUGGAACUGCGAGUGUAGAGGUGAAAUUCGUAGAUAUUCGCAAGAACACCCAGUGGCGAAGGCGGCUCACUGGCCCGAUACUGAAGAUAUUCGCAAGAACCACCCAGUGGCGAAGGCGGCUCACUGGCCCGAUAC